This 776-nucleotide ribosomal RNA is filed under the name uncultured Neocallimastigales. RNAcentral's name for it is "partial large subunit ribosomal RNA". It matches the Rfam family "Eukaryotic large subunit ribosomal RNA", at positions 24 to 644 of the family's 3401-position model. The record is from RNAcentral. Lineage: Eukaryota; Fungi; Neocallimastigomycota; Neocallimastigomycetes; Neocallimastigales.
UAUGUGAUCGUCUCUCGCAUAUCAAUAAGCGGAGGAAAAGAAACUAACAAGGAUUCCCCUAGUAACGGCGAGUGAAGCGGGAAGAGCUCAAAUUUGAAAUCUUAAAGGGUUUCCCUUUACGAAUUGUAGUUUAAAGAAGGUGUUUUCUGUUGAGGUUUUGGUAAAAGUUCUUUGGAAUAGGACAUCAUAGAGGGUGAGAAUCCCGUAUUUGACCUUUACUUUCAACUUUGUGAUACACUUUCAAAGAGUCGGAUUGUUUGGGAAUGCAGUCCAAAAUGGGUGGUAAAUUUCAUCUAAAGCUAAAUAUUGGCGAGAGACCGAUAGCGAACAAGUACCGUGAGGGAAAGAUGAAAAGAACUUUGAAAAGAGAGUUAAACAGUACGUGAAAUUGUCAAAAGGGAAGCGUUUGACACCAGUGUUGUUUUUCUGAAAAUCAAUUAAAGAACUGUUUAUGCUAAGCUGUUUAGACUUUAUCAGCUAUCUGUUUAGUUUUGAGCUUUUCUUUAAUGCACUUUUCAGUUAACAAGUCAACAUCAAUUUACUUUUGCUGUAAAAAAGCUUGAGGAAGGUGGCUUGAGAUUCGUCUUAAGUGUUUAUAGCCUCUUGCCUAUGCAGUCGGAGAGAUUGAGGUCUGCAGCGUAGAUCCUUCGGGGCUAAAUGCAUUUGUGCUAAGUUAUAGCAUUUUAUAGACAACUUGUUGACUAUGAUUUGUCUUGUAGCUUACUCGCUUAUGUUAUUUUACCUACGCUUAGGAUGUUGAAUCUGUGCGAGACUAC